AUUUGGGUAGCUUAUCUACUGUAAAGCACAGCUUUGAAGAGGCUGGGAAGGGUGUUGGCCCCUUUAAAG
This 69-nucleotide transfer RNA is filed under the name Craspedonirmus immer. Its description in RNAcentral is "tRNA-Phe". The record is from RNAcentral. Lineage: Eukaryota; Metazoa; Arthropoda; Insecta; Psocodea; Philopteridae.